Molecule: ribosomal RNA, 433 nt
Filed under: uncultured bacterium
Lineage: Bacteria
Description: partial 16S ribosomal RNA
Rfam family: Bacterial small subunit ribosomal RNA
Source: RNAcentral
AACGAACGCUGGCGGCAUGCCUAACACAUGCAAGUCGAACGAGACCUUCGGGUCUAGUGGCGCACGGGUGCGUAACGCGUGGGAACCUGCCCUUAGGUUCGGAAUAACUCCCCGAAAGGGGUGCUAAUACCGGAUAAUGUCUUCGGACCAAAGAUUUAUCGCCUUUGGAUGGGCCCGCGUUGGAUUAGCUAGUUGGUAGGGUAAAAGCCUACCAAGGCGACGAUCCAUAGCUGGUCUGAGAGGAUGAUCAGCCACACUGGGACUGAGACACGGCCCAGACCCCAACGGGGGCCAGCGGGGGGGAGUUGUGGGUGAGGGACGUAGGUCUUACAAAGCCAUGCCCCGGGGAUGAUGCAACGCUUAGGGGGGGAAAACCCUGUUCCCAGGGCGGAGCAAGGGAGGGGGGGGAGAAUUGGAUACGCCCUCCCCGACC